ACACCUCGCUUUGGAGUGGUUGGCGUCGCCCGCCGGACGAACCUUCUGAACUUUUCUCAAGGUUGACCUCGGAUCAGGUAGGGAUACCCGCUGAACUUAAGCAUAUCAAA
RNAcentral lists this ribosomal RNA (110 nucleotides) under Lasiodiplodia theobromae. RNAcentral's name for it is "partial 28S ribosomal RNA". Lineage: Eukaryota; Fungi; Ascomycota; Dothideomycetes; Botryosphaeriales; Botryosphaeriaceae. The record is from RNAcentral.